AGAUUCCCAAGACAUGACCAGUAGAGCUAUGGUGUGCACAACAUAUUAUUAAGAACCUGUUUGGUCGCUUACGUGCUUUUUCAUCAGUACUCAGCAAGCCCCCCAUCAAGCGCAAAAUCUUGUCUGGAACCACCCACAGUUGAAGGAUGCAGUCUUAUUCUCAUGAAGUGGAGCUUCAAUACAGAGUCACGACAAUGUCAACGAAACUACGUCUGCACAAACCACACGAAUGCUUUUUUAGAUCAAGCGUCCUGCAUGGCAACGUGUGCUUCAGUUCCAGGUCCACAACCUCCAGAGGUUACCAAGGACUGCACCUACUGGAUUCGUCGAUUCUAUGAGUGCAAACGAAAGUGGGUGACACUAUACCGGGACGCUUGGAGAAUAGCGAGGAGAGUCUUUAUAUACACCGGAUGCGGGACUUCGCCAAAUAAGUACUUCGCUUACUAUGUGCACGAAGGACGGUGUGAAGAACUUCUUUUUCGUGGUGAACUGAAGAAAUGAAUAAGCUGCAAGGUCAGCCCAAGUACACCAGCUCUCCUUGAAUUUUCAAUAUUUAAAUGACUGGCCGUUGCUGCGCACUUGUAAAAGUAGUCGAAGUUAUUUCUUCUCAAUUCAACAAAAAUAAACCAUAGGGUCACUGUCAGAAUAAAGCAAUUGAAGCUAUCAUACGGAAUA
Molecule: long non-coding RNA, 675 nt
Organism: Rhipicephalus sanguineus (brown dog tick)
Lineage: Eukaryota; Metazoa; Arthropoda; Arachnida; Ixodida; Ixodidae
Exons: 4
Source: RefSeq, a predicted model, not a curated record